AUCCAUCUGACGAGUCCCAAACAGGACGAAACGCGCGUCCUGGAU
Molecule: non-coding RNA, 45 nt
Organism: Schistosoma margrebowiei
Lineage: Eukaryota; Metazoa; Platyhelminthes; Trematoda; Strigeidida; Schistosomatidae
Source: Rfam